GGUCAAUGGACGCAAGUCUGAACCAGCCAUGCCGCGUGCAGGAUGAAGGUCCUCUGGAUUGUAAACUGCUUUUCUCUGGGAAGAAAUCCUUGAUUUCUAUCGAGGUUGACGGUACCAGAGGAAUAAGCACCGGCUAACUCCGUGCCAGCAGCCGCGGUA
RNAcentral lists this ribosomal RNA (159 nucleotides) under uncultured Bacteroidota bacterium. Its description in RNAcentral is "uncultured Bacteroidetes bacterium partial 16S ribosomal RNA". It matches the Rfam family "Bacterial small subunit ribosomal RNA", at positions 366 to 522 of the family's 1533-position model. The record is from RNAcentral. Lineage: Bacteria; Pseudomonadati; Bacteroidota.